RNAcentral lists this ribosomal RNA (253 nucleotides) under uncultured bacterium. Its description in RNAcentral is "partial 16S ribosomal RNA". It matches the Rfam family "Bacterial small subunit ribosomal RNA", at positions 524 to 776 of the family's 1533-position model. The record is from RNAcentral.
UACAGAGGUCUCAAGCGUUGUUCGGAUUCAUUGGGCGUAAAGGGUGCGUAGGUGGUGUUGCAAGUCUGGUGUGAAAUCUCGGAGCUCAACUCCGAAAUUGCACCGGAUACUGCGUGACUCGAGGACUGUAGAGGAGAUCGGAAUUCACGGUGUAGCAGUGAAAUGCGUAGAUAUCGUGAGGAAGACCAGUUGCGAAGGCGGAUCUCUGGGCAGUUCCUGACACUGAGGCACGAAGGCCAGGGGAGCAAACGGG